UUCACGGAGAGUUUGAUCCUGGCUCAGGACGAACGCUGGCGGCGUGCUUAACACAUGCAAGUCGAACGAUGAAGCCCUUCGGGGUGGAUUAGUGGCGAACGGGUGAGUAACACGUGGGCAAUCUGCCCUGCACUCUGGGACAAGCCCUGGAAACGGGGUCUAAUACCGGAUAUUACCUGCCGAGGCAUCUUGGCGGGUGGAAAG
Molecule: ribosomal RNA, 204 nt
Filed under: Streptomyces hesseae
Lineage: Bacteria; Bacillati; Actinomycetota; Actinomycetes; Kitasatosporales; Streptomycetaceae
Description: Streptomyces sp. DSM 40473 partial 16S ribosomal RNA
Rfam family: Bacterial small subunit ribosomal RNA
Source: RNAcentral